This is a non-coding RNA of Cucurbita pepo subsp. pepo (vegetable marrow), 1429 nucleotides long. Lineage: Eukaryota; Viridiplantae; Streptophyta; Magnoliopsida; Cucurbitales; Cucurbitaceae. The record is from RefSeq and is a predicted model, not a curated record.
CGCACCGACGAUGAAGUACAAAUGCGCACUCUUUUGAAGACCCUUCGGCGAUUGUGUUAGUGAAGCCUUUGUAAUAAUCCUCAAGAUUGAAACAAGAACACCUGCCACCAUGAAUUUUCUCAAUCAGUUGAAUGGAGAAAGUACUUCUUUUAUUGCCCUUUCAGCCAUCUUAAGGCACAUGCUUUCUAGGAUGCUAGAUCAUGUCUGGCACUUUAUAUUUGUGUCAAAGUUUUCGUGAUAAAAUUUGAAAGGUAAGAGGAGAAGGUUUGGACAUAUAUAGUACCUGAAGAAGCAGUCCCGGCAAACACAGCCUGCAUAAAUUGUUUUGGAAGCCUACCAGCUGAUCCUAUCAAACUUCCUGCUACCAAGCCAUCAGCCAAACCGCAGGUGACAACGGAUGCAACGAUCACGCCAUAAGCUUCGUUCGGCCGCCAGUUCGAACCAGUGAUGUUUGAAGCCCAGUCCAUGACAGGAGAGACCAGAACAGACAGGAUGAACAAAGAAAACCCCAAGUUCAUUCUAAAUCUAAAGCUCAUCUUCUUAGACCAUCCAUCCCAAGCAACCAUAAGAACCAGAAGGAGCACAGAGGAAGUCAUGUAAGCGACGGAGAAAACCUUUUCGACGUGUUUGGUGGGAUAGAGGUAGCCAAAGUAAUCAACAGCAGUGAUGGAAGCAUUCCAUGGGAGCAAAUUACCAACACCAAGCAAGAAAUGGAUUAGCCUUUUCAGCUUCCAUUUUCAUGUUCAAGCGUUCUUCUGAGUUCUGGUGUUGGGAAUUUAUGCAUUGUCAAAACAGUAGCUCGGCAUCCAGAAAUGAUGUGUUGAUGAGAUGGGCAUAUCCCUUUGAGAAAGAGUUGAAAUUAUUCAAAGCUUAAGAUGUGAUUGAUGGGUUCAACUUGGAACCAAUAUGACUCACGAAAGUAACCAAAAAACUUGUGCUUCAUGGAUGGGCAAUAUUAUUAGGCUUGCUGCUCCUUUAUUCUACUGCUACUGCUACACAUGGAGGGGCUGCAUUCCUCAUCAACCCCAUCUCUAAACUUCAAUUCCAUUCCAUAAUUUCUGGGUUUAAGCUUUAAAGUUUUAAGGGUUCAUUAAGUAAUCAUUCUCUGAGCUUUUGCAGCCUACAGGCAGAGCUAAAACUGGUUAGAGUAAACAGAGCUGACGUGAACCGGAGGGUCCUAUCAGCGUGGCCAAGAUGACACAUACAGAUGAUAAGCCAUCCGCAUGGGGAACUUGAUUCUUCUUUUUCCCAGUCAGGGAAUUUUCAUAUUGGAGAAGGUUAAUUGCCCCCAUCCAUCCUUUUCUUUUUCUUCUUCUUCCUGUCAUUUCGUACUAUCUUCACUUGGUUUUUAUAUUCCCCUCUUUUGUUUUUUUACCUUGAUUAAUCUGAACAAGACUUUAUUCAUGGAGGUGAGUUGUUUGCAUUUGUA